UACGUAGGCAGCGAGCGUUGUUCGGAAUUACUGGGCGUAAAGAGCUCGUAGGUGGUUUGUCGCGUUGUUCGUGAAAACUCACAGCUUAACUGUGGGCGUGCGGGCGAUACGGGCAGACUUGAGUACUGCAGGGGAGACUGGAAUUCCUGGUGUAGCGGUGGAAUGCGCAGAUAUCAGGAGGAACACCGGUGGCGAAGGCGGGUCUCUGGGCAGUAACUGACGCUGAGGAGCGAAAGCGUGGGGAGCGAACAGG
This 253-nucleotide ribosomal RNA is filed under the name uncultured bacterium. RNAcentral's name for it is "partial 16S ribosomal RNA". It matches the Rfam family "Bacterial small subunit ribosomal RNA", at positions 524 to 776 of the family's 1533-position model. The record is from RNAcentral.